Molecule: ribosomal RNA, 174 nt
Filed under: uncultured Actinoplanes sp.
Lineage: Bacteria; Bacillati; Actinomycetota; Actinomycetes; Micromonosporales; Micromonosporaceae
Description: partial 16S ribosomal RNA
Rfam family: Bacterial small subunit ribosomal RNA
Source: RNAcentral
CCUACGGGAGGCAGCAGUGGGGAAUAUUGCGCAAUGGGCGAAAGCCUGACGCAGCGACGCCGCGUGAGGGACGACGGCCUUCGGGUUGUAAACCUCUUUCAGCAGGGACGAAGCGAAAGUGACGGUACCUGCAGAAGAAGCACCGGCCAACUACGUGCCAGCAGCCGCGGUAAU